CCCUUAGAUGUCCUGGGCCGCACGCGCGUUACACUGAUGCAUUCAACGAGCUUAUAACCUUGGCCGAGAGGCCUGGGCAAUCUUGUUAACGUGCAUCGUGAUAGGGAUAGAUUAUUGAAAUUAUUAAUCUUGAACGAGGAAUUCCUAGUAAACGCAGAUCAUCAAUCUGCAUUGAUUACGUCCCUGCCCUUUGUACACACCGCCCGUCGCUACUACCGAUUGAACGGUUUAGUGAGGACCUCGGAUUGGUCUCGGCCCGCUCUUUACCGGGCGGCGCCGUUGGUCGAGAAGACGCUCGAACUUGAUCGUUUAGAGGAAGUAAAAGUCGUAACA
Molecule: ribosomal RNA, 333 nt
Filed under: uncultured eukaryote
Lineage: Eukaryota
Description: partial 18S ribosomal RNA
Rfam family: Eukaryotic small subunit ribosomal RNA
Source: RNAcentral